GAUGAACGCUGGCGGCGUGCCUAAUACAUGCAAGUCGAGCGAACGGACGAGAAGCUUGCUUCUCUGAUGUUAGCGGCGGACGGGUGAGUAACACGUGGAUAACCUACCUAUAAGACUGGGAUAACUUCGGGAAACCGUAGCUAAUACCGGAUAAUAUUUUGAACCGCAUGGUUCAAAAGUGAAAGACGGUCUUGCUGUCACUUAUGGAUGGAUCCGCGCUGCAUUAGCUAGUUGGUAAGGUAACGGCUUACCAAGGCAACGAUGCAUAGCCGACCUGAGAGGGGGAGCGCCAACCGUGGAAGUGACACCGGCUCCAGACUCCGACGGGGGGCAGCAGGGGGGACUUUGCCGAAAGGGGCGAAGGCCUGACGGAGCAACGCCGGGUGAGUGAUGAGGGUCUUCGGAUCGAAAAACUGUUUUAUGAGGAAAAAAAAUAUGUGUACGAAACUGUCCACUUCUGGACGGUCCCUAAUAAGAAAGCCACGGCAACCUACGUG
This 497-nucleotide ribosomal RNA is filed under the name uncultured bacterium. RNAcentral's name for it is "partial 16S ribosomal RNA". It matches the Rfam family "Bacterial small subunit ribosomal RNA", at positions 28 to 507 of the family's 1533-position model. The record is from RNAcentral.